RNAcentral lists this transfer RNA (77 nucleotides) under Candidatus Heimdallarchaeota archaeon. RNAcentral's name for it is "tRNA-Lys". It matches the Rfam family "tRNA". Rfam says of the family: Transfer RNA (tRNA) molecules are approximately 80 nucleotides in length. RNAcentral also lists the same sequence under 1 other name. Lineage: Archaea; Promethearchaeati; Candidatus Heimdallarchaeota. The record is from RNAcentral.
GGGCGUGUAGCUCAGCUAGGUAGAGCACCUGGCUUUUAACUAGGUGGCCGCGUGUUCGAAUCGCGCCACGCCCGCCA